RNAcentral lists this unclassified non-coding RNA (3082 nucleotides) under Helicoverpa zea (corn earworm). RNAcentral's name for it is "transmembrane protein 268, transcript variant X2". Lineage: Eukaryota; Metazoa; Arthropoda; Insecta; Lepidoptera; Noctuidae. The record is from RNAcentral.
UUUAAUUGAUCAUCUAGGUGUCUGCUAAUUGCUCAUAUUUAUUUUUCUGUGAGAACUACUCAAGAAUUUAUCUAAUUCUUUCAUAGAUAAUAUUUUACAAAACAAAUGAAUGUGACACAAGAUCAAGACAGGCCACAAUGCAUUGACAUGACAACUCAUGACAAUCUGACAUCGACAAGGCAUGACAUAUGAGAUUUAGUCUGAAAAAUAUCUCUUUGCCCUGCCUUACUUAUCUAAAUUAUCCGAUUUCUUUUAGAUUUAAGAAUUUUAAAUUCAAAUCCAAUAAGUAAUUGGAAAUAAAGUAUAUCCAAUUUAGUACAAAACCACUGCAGCCAGAGUUUAUUUACUCAAAGUGAUAUUACAAAUUGGAAAGAUUAAAGAUCGUUCUAUAUAAACUAAUAAUCAAUCGAAAUAAAUAUAUAUAAUUGCAAUAUGAGUAAUGUUGAAAUUACUGAAGUAAAUGAACUAAAUGGCAAUGUAAAUCAAGAUAAAGUGCGAAAAGGAUGGGUUAAAUUCGACGAUGAAUCUCCAAAGUCCGCAGAAAACGAUGUGCCACCAAGUGUUUCCUCCCCCGAAGGAGCGAGUACUUCUGCAACAGCUCAGUCUGCUGCAGUACUGAAAACGGAAACCGUACAUAUAAACUUGGAAAGAGGAGAUAAAAACAUUGAGCCCAUAUCAUUAGUUACAUUAUCCAAAAAUGUCGAGUUUGUUAAUGUUCGUCAAGGAUUCUCUAAUGGUGAUAUAAUUGUGACUCUGCUGCCUGUGAACACUAAAUGGCCCUGGGUGACAGCAGCACACUUCCGGCCAGAACUAGUGCCAGAGGAGCUCAUGGCACAGGGACUAACUCUGACAGUGGAGGAAUAUGUUCAUGCAAUGGAACUGCUUAUUAACGAUGCUCGUUUUACAUUGUAUAACAUAUGCUACAAGCGUGUGCUUGUUUGUUGGAUAACGCUUGCAUUUCUUGUGCUGCUAGCACUGUUGUUUUCUGGCCUGACUGGACUGAUAUUGUUUUCAUUGGGUGUGUUAUGGCUGAUUCUCAACGCAGCUGCAAUUUUCCUGUGCAUGUGGAUAAAGUUGAGAUUAUCAAAAGGAUUGGAACAAUGUUUAGCAAGAGUUAACAAACUGCUAAGUAAACAUAAAUUGAUCCUAGCACUUGAUGAUAGAGGAAAGAUUUCAUGUCAUAAAGUAAAUCUAUGCUUUAUUUACUUUGAUUCUGGACCAUGUAUUGCACACAUACAACAGUUCAUUGAAAGUGAAGAAGGUAAAACAAUAAUGCAGGGCUGGGAACAGAGACUGGAUGUGCCAACUAAUGAUAUUGUAAUCCAAGGAACACAGUCAACCAGGUUGUCCAGAAAACAGGAAAGGGGGUGUCUUCUAUAUCUGCGGUAUGCUGGACGCUGGGGGUCACAGGCUGUUAAAAAUAGACUUAACCUCAGCAGCCUGGUGCCUGGUCGCCACGGCGAGAAAUAUGUAUGUCCUUGUCAGUUUAUAGAAGAACACCUUAAGGUCAAACCUCCUGCGGGUAUUGCAAAAUAUUUUACUCUUCCUAACCAAAAUGUUCAAGUUUAUUAACUAACUUCAAACUUAAAUAAACUCAUAUGUUCAUGCAUUCGCUCAUAUCAAAGUACCUAUGUGUAUCUGUCCGUCCAUUUAGUAUUAAUAACAUAUCAUUAUAAUUAGAAAUAAUGAAAAACGUACUUAAAUACCUAUAUGUUUACAUAUUAUAUGUUAUUGUAGUUUAAUAUUAUUAAGGUACACUUAACUAACUAAUAUUGCAUACUGCAAUGGUUAAAGAAUAGCGCUCUCAUCGCUCUGGGGUGCCUCAUGUCUCGUUACCCGCACGAAUAUUUAUGAAUGUGGCUAGACUAAAUUUUUUUAACAUAGAAUUUCAUGUGGUCUAUAUGUACCACCAUAUAAUAUACAUUAGUGAUGAGAGCUGUUCUUAAAAAUCAUAAGAGUUGCCAUAAGUCUACUUACGAAUUCGGCCAAAGUUUGGGUAAACAAAGAUGUUUAUUUUUUAUUAUCAUCUCACGAAAUGCUCAAUUUCUAUCAAUUUACUUAACAGCACUAUCAUUUUUAAGAUGAGAUGCAAUAUUAUAUAAAGCUUAAUCUCAAAUUAAAUCUCAGCUUAUUUUAUUCAAAUUGUGUUUUAAAGUUUAUAUAAUUAGGUUGUUUUAUCAAGUAUUUGUUUCUAGUGGCCAUACAUUUAAGUUUUUACUGUUGUACAGAAAUAAGUAAUUUUAUUGGAAUAUAAUUUAGUUUUGGAAAAAAUCUGCUUUGUCGUAGUCUUUACAAGUUUAGAAAUUAAGCAUAUUUAUUAAAGUACCUACUUAUUUACCCUAUGGCAUAUAAUAUCGAUUACCUUUAUGAAAUCAAGAAUAAAAACUUUAUUAUUGUGGUAAUUGCCAAAAUUACCAGUAAGUAUUGUAAAAAUAUAUGAGUCUCAAAAUGUAUAAACAAUGUAUAAUGCUAAUACCUAGACACAGAUAUGGAAACAAUGAAAUCACAGUUGCACAGCCUAGUCAUCAACUUCUCAAUGAACUAAUUUAUACACAUCAUCAGUGUGCUGAACUCUAUUUAAAACCAAAGCUCAAAGUGUGAAAUUGUUUCAGAGCUAAUUAUUUUCGAAUGGUUAUUUUUUUAGAUCCUGUUAGUAAUCAUUAAGGGUAAAGAGUAUAAUUUUACGAUCGUAGAGGUAUAUAGUGGAAGCACUACACUUACCAGUUUAAAAACUGUAUAAGUAAAAUACAUUAAUUACAUUCCGUUUUUUUUAAAAUAUUGUAAAUAAUGCUCGCGUGAUUUUGAGGGAUGUAUAUUUCAUUAAAGAUGAGACAGUGUAUUAUAUAUUUGCUAUUACAAUAGGAACGCGGCAAUAGUAUACUAUAUAAACAUGAUUAAGUACUAAAAUAUAUGUAAGUGAACAGGUAUUCGUAAUGUUGUGAUUAAUGGAAACUUAUUCCGUCCUAAAUAUGAGAAGUAAUAGGAACUAAAAUAUAUUAAUUAGUAUACCUUUACUUACCUACAUAUUAUUAUUUUUAUGUAAUUACAUUAUGUUGAAUAAUAUAUACAUAUUUUUAAUGUU